GUGCUUAUUUCUGCAACAUAUCUCCUUAAAUGGAAGCAAUUCAAGAAAGAUAAGCAUGGUCCUUGUGCAGGGAUGCCAGGCAAAUUGGUGACACAAUUCCAUAGUUUU
RNAcentral lists this small nuclear RNA (108 nucleotides) under Cavia porcellus (domestic guinea pig). Lineage: Eukaryota; Metazoa; Chordata; Mammalia; Rodentia; Caviidae. The record is from RNAcentral.